GCGAAGGUGGCGGAAUUGGUAGAGGCGCUAGCUUCAGGUGUUAGUGUUCUUACGGACGUGGGGGUUCAAGUCCCCCCCCUCGCACCA
RNAcentral lists this transfer RNA (87 nucleotides) under Escherichia coli. Its description in RNAcentral is "tRNA-Leu". It matches the Rfam family "tRNA". Rfam says of the family: Transfer RNA (tRNA) molecules are approximately 80 nucleotides in length. RNAcentral also lists the same sequence under 2 other names. Lineage: Bacteria; Pseudomonadati; Pseudomonadota; Gammaproteobacteria; Enterobacterales; Enterobacteriaceae. The record is from RNAcentral.